RNAcentral lists this ribosomal RNA (459 nucleotides) under uncultured bacterium. RNAcentral's name for it is "SSU rRNA". It matches the Rfam family "Bacterial small subunit ribosomal RNA", at positions 27 to 518 of the family's 1533-position model. The record is from RNAcentral.
GGAACGAACGCUGGCGGCAUGCCUAACACAUGCAAGUCGAACGAGACCCCCGUCUUCGGAUGGCGGGUCUAGUGGCGCACGGGUGCGUAACGCGUGGGAAUCUGCCCUUAGGUUCGGAAUAACAGUUAGAAAUGACUGCUAAUACCGGAUAAUGACGUAAGUCCAAAGAUUUAUCGCCUAGGGAUGAGCCCGCGUAAGAUUAGCUAGUUGGUGGGGUAAAGGCCUACCAAGGCAACGAUCUUUAGCUGGUCUGAGAGGAUGAUCAGCCACACUGGGACUGAGACACGGCCCAGACUCCUACGGGAGGCAGCAGUGGGGAAUAUUGGACAAUGGGCGAAAGCCUGAUCCAGCAAUGCCGCGUGAGUGAUGAAGGCCUUAGGGUUGUAAAGCUCUUUACCCGGGAUGAUAAUGACAGUACCGGGAGAAUAAGCUCCGGCUAACGUCCGUGCCAGCAGCCGC